UAAAUAGAAUUUAAAGGCUGAAUUUGAAAAUUAAAAAUGAGAAAAGGAGCAAAUUAAAUCACGCGUAACAGAAGGAGGACCAAAAGAGCAAAUUAUCCAAACCGCUCAAGCACUGCGCAGCAACAUGGAUUGAACUAAAAACAGCAUUAAAAUAUAUUGCGUAAUUUAAAAAUAUAAAAAAAACUGAUUUAAUCACCCAAAAAAAAAACAAAGGACCAAUAGUGCAAAUGGCCCAUUUUGAACCCAUUUCAAAACCCAAAACUCAUUUCCCCUCUGCCAUUUGAAGAUUUGCGCCGCAGCCUCUUUUCGCUUUCGCUCCAAAUCCUUUCCAUUUCCGACCAGAAGUCGAUGAAUCCGGGACACCCUCCGACGAUUCAGAACGGCGUGGGCGUUGUGCGAGGACGCGGGGCGGUUACUGCGACGUGCGUGCUGAAACUGCUGCAACAGAGGCUGCUUCUAAGUUUCUGCUGUUUUGUUUUUGUUAUGGGCUAAUAUUUGGGCUAAUUUGGGUUUAAUCUAGGCUUGGGUUAAUUGGGUUUAGUAAUGGGCUAUUAGCUUUUUAGUCAGGCCAAAAUUGGCCUAUUACAUUAUUCACAGCAAUUAGAAUGAAUAGUUAUUCCAUCUA
This is a long non-coding RNA of Gossypium raimondii (Peruvian cotton), 625 nucleotides long. RefSeq lists it as uncharacterized. The record is from RefSeq and is a predicted model, not a curated record. The transcript has 2 exons. Lineage: Eukaryota; Viridiplantae; Streptophyta; Magnoliopsida; Malvales; Malvaceae.